GAUGAACGCUGGCGGCGUGCCUAAUACAUGCAAGUCGAGCGGACGGACGAUAAGCUUUCUUCCUUGCUGUUAGCGGCGGACGGGCGAGUAACACGUGGAUCACCUACCUCUAUUUCUGGGGUGAUUACGGGAAGCCAGAGCUAAUACCAGCUAAUAUUUUGAACCGCAUGGUUCAGAAGUGCAACACGGUUUUGCUGUCACUUUUAGCUGGAUCCGCGCUGCAUUAGCUAGUUGGUAAGGUAACGGCUUACCAAGGCGACGAUGCAUAGCCGACCUGAGAGGGUGAUCGGCCACACUGGAACUGAGACACGGUCCAGACUCCUACGGGAGGCAGCAGUAGGGAAUCUUGGACAAUGGGCGAAAGCCUGACGCAGCAACGCCGCGUGAGUGAAGAAGGUCUUCGGGUUGUAAAGCCCUGUCAUUAGGAAAGAAAAGCAGUGUAUGUAACUGCGGCUGUCUUGACGGUACCUAAUCAAAAAGCAACGGCUAACUUCGUG
This 497-nucleotide ribosomal RNA is filed under the name uncultured bacterium. RNAcentral's name for it is "partial 16S ribosomal RNA". It matches the Rfam family "Bacterial small subunit ribosomal RNA", at positions 28 to 507 of the family's 1533-position model. The record is from RNAcentral.